RNAcentral lists this transfer RNA (48 nucleotides) under Xinidium sp. XIN01. Its description in RNAcentral is "partial tRNA-Met". The record is from RNAcentral. Lineage: Eukaryota; Metazoa; Arthropoda; Insecta; Coleoptera; Scarabaeidae.
AAGCUAUGGGUUCAUACCCCAAUCAUAAAGGUCUAAAUCCUUUUCUUU